ACGUAGGGUGCAAGCGUUAAUCGGAAUUACUGGGCGUAAAGCGUGCGCAGGCGGUUUUGUAAGACAGGCGUGAAAUCCCCGGGCUUAACCUGGGAAUGGCGCUUGUGACUGCAAAGCUGGAGUGCGGCAGAGGGGGAUGGAAUUCCGCGUGUAGCAGUGAAAUGCGUAGAUAUGCGGAGGAACACCGAUGGCGAAGGCAAUCCCCUGGGCCUGCACUGACGCUCAUGCACGAAAGCGUGGGGAGCAAACAGGAUUAGAUACCCUGGUAGUCCACGCCCUAAACGAUGUCAACUGGUUGUUGGGUCUCUUCUGACUCAGUAACGAAGCUAACGCGUGAAGUUGACCGCCUGGGGAGUACGGCCGCAAGGUUG
RNAcentral lists this ribosomal RNA (371 nucleotides) under uncultured bacterium. RNAcentral describes it as "bacterial SSU rRNA". It matches the Rfam family "Bacterial small subunit ribosomal RNA", at positions 525 to 896 of the family's 1533-position model. The record is from RNAcentral.